GAUGAACGCUAGCGGCAGGCUUAAUACAUGCAAGUUGAGGGGCAGCAUGAUAUACGCGAGUAUAUUGAUGGCGACCGGCGGACGGGUGAGUAAUAGGUAGGAGACCUACCUCAUACAGGGGGAUAGCAUAGAGAAAUCUGUGGUAAUACCCCAUGAGGUUAUAUGAAUAGAGGCAUAUAAUCAAAGCAUAAGCGAUUAUGCGGUAUGAGAGGGGCCUACUGACCAUUAGCUAGUUGGUGAGGUAAGGGCUCACCAAGGCGAAGAUGGUUAGGGGUUUUGAGAGGGAGACCCCCCACAUUGGAACUGAGAGACGGUCCAGACUCCUACGGGAGGCAGCAGUAGGGAAUAUUGGGCAAUGGGCGAAAGCCUGACCCAGCCAUGCCGCGUGAAGGAAGACGGCCUUAUGGGUUGUAAACUUCUUUACUACGCGAAUAGAGGUUAGUACGAGAUACUAAUAGGAAGGUAGUGUAGUAAAAGCACCGGCUAACUCCGUGCC
RNAcentral lists this ribosomal RNA (496 nucleotides) under uncultured bacterium. RNAcentral's name for it is "bacterial SSU rRNA". It matches the Rfam family "Bacterial small subunit ribosomal RNA", at positions 28 to 509 of the family's 1533-position model. The record is from RNAcentral.